UUCUCAUUUCUCUUCUCUCGCCAAAAAAAACCUAAGCCCAGAAAUGAAACGCAGGUCACACAAUUUUUUCCCUUUUCGCAUCCCUCACAUAAAGCAACUUCCUUCGUUGAUCUCAGAUGGCGACGGUUAUGGCGGACAAGAAAUCGAAAACGAAGAUCGUCUGUACCAUCGGUCCCGCAUCAGAGUUCCUUCCCAUGAUCGAGAAGCUUCUCCGAACAUGCAUGAACGUCGCUCGUUUCAACUUCUCUCAUGGCUCUUACGAUUACCAUCAGGAAACCCUAGAUAAUCUCAGAACCGCCAUGGAUAAUACCGGUAUCCUCUGCGCCGUCAUGCCCGUGUUGUCCAAAAGCUCUGGGCUUUUGUUCGAGAAGCGAUUAAUCGAGAGACACAUACAGUUCAUUCUUUCUCUCUCUAAGCGUUUCUCCACCAAUCAACUUCUCUGUUUCCGGAAUCGCUUUCACCAUCGCCGCCGGUUAGGGUUCCAUCAACUUCUCGAAAUGCACGGGAUCGAGACACACGAUGGGGAUUAGGGUUCCAAUGAUGGAAUGAAGGGGAUGGAGCAUUCUAUGGACCAAAGAUAGAUAUCAGUGUAUCUGAUGCGCUGAGUAGAAAAUUCCAGUGUGCAAAUCUACAGACUGGCUCCUUGCAGCUUGACUUCCAGCUUCCUGAUCGUUUUAAGUUGGAAUUCUCAGCUGAGGAUGAAGCCAAAAUUGAGAGGCCUGUUAUGAUACACAGAGCCAUUCUAGGAUCAUUUUAAGUUGGAAUUCUCUGAAGAGUUAUCUGGUCGUACAGACAAUGAGAUAAAAAACUAUUGGAACACUUGGAUCAAGAGGCGUACCCGAGCUGGCUUGCCACUUUAUCCUCCUGGUGUAUAUCAAGCGGCUCUUAAUAACCAAAGCACCGGUAGAAUUAACGUUGGCAAUAAAGUGCAUUAUGAUUUCUUGCAUAAAAGGAGUUUUAAUGAACCCUUUUUUAACUCACAAAGCAUAGAAGUCUUCAUGCAGUGUAAACAUGUUUACUCGACUCAUGGCUGAUAAUAGUUUAAGAAAACAGUCUUGUCAAAAUAAGUUAAUUUAAGUAGUCACUAAAUUUUAUUUUUUAUGAAGGUUAGUAUAUUCCCAACAAACUACACAAUGGAACAGGAACAUUGUGAAAUCAAUAUUAUGAAAAUCUAUGCAUAUGGUUUUCCUAUUAAUUCCUUAAAAUUCAUAUGCAGGAAACAUUGUGAAAUCAGAGUAUGUUGAUCAUGUGUGGUCCCCUGACAGUUCUUAUAUCAAGUCUCUGUUGAACAAUAGUCGUCCAGAUUUUGUGCUUGAUUCAGGUUGGUAUGAGUCGUGUUCUGGGCUAUGAAGCACAGACUCCGACACGGACACCGGGACACGACACGACACGGACACUCCGACACCGAUAAUGUUGAAAACAUAGGACACCGACACCGCUACAUAUAAGUUAAUAUUUGAGUUUCAUUUAUCCAUAUAUUGAUCAAAAUUAAUGUCUUUAAUUCUUUAUUGAUAACAUUGUUUCAAUACAUGUUUAACCCUUUUUAGAUGUGUGUGAGAUCUGUCCAAAAAUAUAUAUAAAUGUGUGUUGAGGCAAAGUAAAAAGAUAAAUUUUUGUUUGAAACAUUUGUCUGAGUUGUCGGACAUAUGUGGUAUGAGUGUCGUACGAGUGUCGGACACUCAUUAAAAGAGUGUCGAAGCAAAGAAAAGAACCAUUUUUUAUGGGACACUUGUCUGACUUUUCCGACACUUAUUUGACUUUUCCGACACGUGUCGUACGAGUGUCAUACAAGUGUCGGACACCGACGCGUGUCGGACACCGCGACACGCCUACUCCUAGAGGUGUCCGUGCUUCAUAGGUUCUGGGCAUGGAAAUAACCAAGCCGUUGCCACUGAUGCUACAUUGAUGUUUCAAGAAGAUCAAUUAGCCACCGACUAUAGACAUAUGACUGCUGCUGGAACUUCUAACCCAAGUCAGGUAUGGGAGUUAAGUUCUUUUGGAUGGAACAACAUGCGUGCUGUCUGUCAAGUAUCUGAUCUUGGUUAAGAAAACAUCCAAGAUGUGUGAUUUGAAACUGCUGUACUAAUUGCAUUCAUGUUGGUUUUCUUAACAUGGUCGUCAGGUGUUAAUAUCUUUACGUGUGUUGAUUUGAACCGAGAAAUAUUUUACGUGUGAUUUUCUAGUACUGAAAAUAUGAUAAUCGAGAGACACAUAGAGGUAAAGGUUAAUUCUUUGUAUUUUAAGUUCAUUCUUUGUAUUUUAAGUUAAUUCUCAGUAUAUUUGCUUAUGCAAUAACUAUCAGGAUUGCUUUUUUAAAACCUUUGUGUAGGAGGCACUUGGAUAAGCUUUUAAAUUAAAGAAGACAGAAAUAAAUUUACGAUAGAUGCAUGUAACUUUUAUUCAAAAGCUACUUUUCCUAGCCUUUUAGAGAAGCACAAAAAAAAAAAUUGGCUUUUUUCUCUUUUUAAUUCUUUUAUGAUUAUGAUAAACAAAUUUAAACAUUUUUUCCCUUAAAGAAAAUGUUAUUUUAAAAAUGAACAAGUGGAUUUAUAAUACUCAAGAACCAAGUAGUUUACCGACAUGUUAAUGGUUGUCUGAACUUUAUUGCUGAUAGUUUCAUAAACUCAAUGCAACUUGUUUUUGUAGUUUUCACUGGAGAAGCAUGGGGUUAUCUCGGAAGCAGAAGAUUUUUAGUAGAACUUGACGAGCACUCAGAUGUUGUUCAUGGCCUUAAUCGCUCGUUAAUUGAAAAGUUCUGUUGGAAAGGGUCGCAUUCAAGGUGCUAAAAACUACUUUGCUCAUGCAGAAGGGGAUUCUUCUGCCACAAAUUAGAUAAUGGCUGCUCUGAAACAUGCCCAAGAGUCGCUACCGUCUGAAGAUACAAAUAUUGCAUCUGCAAGUGUCUCAAAUAUUACAUAAUUUUUUUUUGUAGCCAUAGGGUGACAUUCAUUAUUCAUAACUUAGGCUUUUUUUUUUUAAA
Vicia villosa (hairy vetch) is the source of this 2980-nucleotide RNA transcript. RefSeq lists it as uncharacterized. The record is from RefSeq and is a predicted model, not a curated record. The transcript is spliced from 7 exons. Lineage: Eukaryota; Viridiplantae; Streptophyta; Magnoliopsida; Fabales; Fabaceae.